RNAcentral lists this transfer RNA (75 nucleotides) under bacterium ADurb.Bin157. RNAcentral's name for it is "tRNA-Met". It matches the Rfam family "tRNA". From Rfam's summary of the family: Transfer RNA (tRNA) molecules are approximately 80 nucleotides in length. The record is from RNAcentral.
GGGCCUAUAGCUCAGUUGGUCAGAGCCUCCGGCUCAUAACCGGAUUGUCGCAGGUUCAAGUCCUGCUGGGCCCAC